Molecule: long non-coding RNA, 1278 nt
Filed under: Heterocephalus glaber (naked mole-rat)
Lineage: Eukaryota; Metazoa; Chordata; Mammalia; Rodentia; Bathyergidae
Description: lncRNA (ENSHGLG00100037506.1)
Source: RNAcentral
GCUCUGGUAUUUUUCCAGGAGAGACCAAAUGCAGGUGAGUGGACAAGAGAAAAGUGCUGCGUGGGUUCAAUACACGAAUUUGAUUCCUUUAUUACCUGUAUUGGUGAGCUUUGGGACACAGCCCCACACCCACAGCUUAAAGGAGGAGAGGCUUGUUUUGGCUCACAGUUGCCAGAGAUUCAGUCCAUGAUUGAUCAGCUCCAAGGCAGAAACAGCCUGGUGGAAGGGCAGGGCAGAGGAAAGCUGUUCACCUCAUGGCAGCCAGGAAACAGUGAGAAGGGAGGAGCAAGGACAGGAAUGCACCUUCCAGGUCCCACCCCCAGUGACCACCUUCACCCAAGUCCCUCCUAACAGCACACUCAGCUACUGUACAAUUCAGUGGGGGAAUCUAAUGAUGAGUACAGCACCCCAUGAUCCAGUCAUGUUCCACAGGCAGCAGACUUCUGAGGGACAUGUUUGAUCUACAUCCUAACAAUGGCUAAACACAAAAGUGCUUGUUCGCACCCCUUGUCUUAAGCAAGGGGUGGUUGUAUCCACCUGUCAAGUGGGGAAACUUCUGCUCACAGAUGGGGGGCUCUGGGCCACAGAAGUCCUACAGCCAGGCCUGGCAGCACAGCACUGCGGCCCCGUGUGGUUUUCUAGGCUCUGGCGGGCAUAGGUCUCUAGGCUGCCAGUUUCUACUUCUAAGUGACAACUUGGUGUCUAUUCAAAUUCCAGAUGGGAUUGAUAAUUUUCAAAAGUAAAGACGUUUAAGUAGUACUUAGGGCACAAAAAGCUUACCUGUGUUUGCACUCACUUGGUAAACCACUUGGCAAAUUUGAGAACUUUAAUUACUCACAUUUCUUAUCGUUGAGGUUCCUGAAAAUUGCAAAGAUUAAAGCACAGAUCGUAACCACGAGAAGCUGCCAGCUACCCACAGAUCAGGGAAGGGACUGCGGUGGCAGACGGCAUCAGUUGCUUCCAGGAGGCGACACGUACGGCAGAGGAGCUGAUCCCUGGAUCACACACACAGCUCAUCAGAGACCCUCGCAUGGGUAAGUGUCAGGUAAAAGGGCCGAAGACCAAGACCAGACCAGGCCACAGCAAGCCUUUAUUAGGGGAAUAGAUCUGCCGGGCUGUCUCUGAACAAAGGAGAGACAAAAGCAAUAUGGCUGGGGCAGGGAGAGUCUUUUAUAGAGACUGGGGUGGGGCUUGUAGGGGCUGAGGCGGGGGAGAGUCUUUUAUAGAGACUGGGGUGGGGCUUGUAGGGGCUGAGGCGGGGUUGAGUGAGGUAGUGAC